GACCAAGGAGUCUAACCCGUAUGCGAGUCGUAGGGUCUUGUGUAGGCCCCGUGGCGAAGCGAAAGCAAAGUCGAGACAUUGGAUAACUUUAUUCCUUUAGCAUCGGCGACCCGGCGGUGCGGCCGGCUGGCACGGCUGCGUUUGCGUCAAAACUCACGUCUGUCGUGCCCGGCUCGUCGGAGUCUGAGCAUACGAGUUGGUACCCGAAAGAUGGUGAACUAUGCCCCGCCAGGGCGAAGUCGGAGGAAACUCCGGUGGAGGCCCGAAGCGGUUCUGACGUGCAAAUCGAUCGUCGGAGCGAGGUAUAGGGGCGAAAGACUAAUCGAACCAUCUAGUAGCUGGUUCCCUCCGAAGUUUCCCUCAGGAUAGCUGGCAUUCGUGAAACUCAGUCUCUCCUCGUAGAGAGAAUGAAUAGAGGCCCUGGGGCCCUAGACGACCUCAACCUAUUAUCAAACUGCUACGAGGUGCGUCUGUAGGAAAAGAAUUGUGGGAAAAGAGGAAUUCGUUCCUUCUUUUUUUAUUUUUUUUCGGACUUGCUGACUUGAAGUCCUUUCCUACGCUAUGGGAUGUGUGAGUGCCGUGUGGGCCACUUUUG
Molecule: ribosomal RNA, 595 nt
Filed under: Afrarchaea woodae
Lineage: Eukaryota; Metazoa; Arthropoda; Arachnida; Araneae; Archaeidae
Description: eukaryotic LSU rRNA
Rfam family: Eukaryotic large subunit ribosomal RNA
Source: RNAcentral